This 815-nucleotide small RNA is filed under the name Pongo abelii (Sumatran orangutan). Its description in RNAcentral is "retained intron". Lineage: Eukaryota; Metazoa; Chordata; Mammalia; Primates; Hominidae. The record is from RNAcentral.
GGCUACAUGGGAAAGAUGUUCAUGGCUGCUACCAACUACCUCCCCACCCAGGUGUCAGACAUGAUGCAUCAGGACAGGGCUUUUGCCACCGCACGCUUGAACUUCUCCGGACAGAGGAACAUCUGUACCCUCUCAACGAUCCAGAAGUUGCCACGGCUGCUAGUUGCAUCAUCCAAUGGACACCUUUAUAUGUACAAUUUGGAUCCUCAGGAUGGAGGAGAGUGUGUCUUAAUCAAAACCCACAGGUGAAGAGACUGCUUUUCAAAAGACAGCCUUUCGAGAGCUGGUCGUGUAGAGUUGUCCCUUCACCAAGAACAACGACAAGCUUCAGUGCCCUUGCGUUGAUUUGUUCUUCACUGGCAGUCUCAGUGGCAAACCUCUAGUGGGCAAGUGCUCUGCACCGGGCUCUGUGUCAGGCGCCCUCAGCAUGUGGUAAUCAUCUGGAAAAGUGCCAGGAUUAAUAACACACAAGAUGGUCUCCCCUUCGGCCUGAGCUCACAGUGGGUGUUCAAAAAUAUUCCCUGCCACCAGGCGUGGCGGCUCACACCUGUAAUCCCAGCACUUUGGGAGGCCAAAGCGGGUGAUGGCUUGAGUCCAGGCGUUCAAGACCAGCAUGGGCAACAUGGUGAAACCCCAUCUGUACCAAAAACAAAUACAAAAAUUAGUCGGGUGUAGUGGCACACACCUGUAGUCCCAGCUACUCGGGAGGCUGAGGUGGGAGAGUCACCUGAGCCUGGAGAGGUUGAGGCUGCAGUGAGCCAUGAUCACACCAUUGCACUCCAGCCUGGGCAACAGAGUGAGACCCUGUCUCAAAA